AAGACUAUACUUUCAGGGAUCAUUUCUAUAGUUUCUAACUGGAGAAAUGUGUUUCUAAAGUGUUUGGUCUCGCUAUCCACGAUGAUGAGCGAAGAUACUUCCACCUGAGCGCGAAGCGGGUUGUGAGUAUGGACUCCGGUCUAACGCUCGCAGCUUUUGAUGACCGUUCUCUGUCACCUUGGAGACAGUGAGGGUGGAAGUAUGAUCAGAGUGGU
Synchiropus splendidus (mandarinfish) is the source of this 215-nucleotide small nucleolar RNA. RefSeq annotates it as small nucleolar RNA U3. Lineage: Eukaryota; Metazoa; Chordata; Actinopteri; Syngnathiformes; Callionymidae. The transcript has a single exon. The record is from RefSeq and is a predicted model, not a curated record.